GGAGGAUGCAAGCGUUAUCCGGAUUCAUUGGGUUUAAAGGGUGCGCAGGUGGGAAAAUAAGUCAGUGGUGAAAUACUGCCGCUUAACGGUAGAAUUGCCAUUGAUACUGUUUUUCUUGAGUAUGGUUGAGGUAGGUGGAAUGUGUUGUGUAGCGGUGAAAUGCAUAGAUAUGACACAGAACGCCGAUUGCGAAGGCAGCUUACUAAGCCAUUACUGACGCUGAGGCACGAAAGCGUGGGGAUCAAACAGGAUUAGAUACCCUGGUAGUCCACGCCGUAAACGAUGAUCACUCGCUGUUUGCGAUAUACAGCAAGCGGCUGAGCGAAAGCAUUAAGUGAUCCACCUGGGGAGUACGAUCGCAAGGUUGAA
Molecule: ribosomal RNA, 369 nt
Filed under: uncultured bacterium
Lineage: Bacteria
Description: bacterial SSU rRNA
Rfam family: Bacterial small subunit ribosomal RNA
Source: RNAcentral